Molecule: ribosomal RNA, 506 nt
Filed under: uncultured bacterium
Lineage: Bacteria
Description: partial 16S ribosomal RNA
Rfam family: Bacterial small subunit ribosomal RNA
Source: RNAcentral
AGUGAACGCUGGCGGUAGGCCUAACACAUGCAAGUCGAACGGCAGCACAGGAGAGCUUGCUCUCUGGGUGGCGAGUGGCGGACGGGUGAGGAAUACAUCGGAAUCUACUUUUUCGUGGGGGAUAACGUAGGGAAACUUACGCUAAUACCGCAUACGACCUACGGGUGAAAGCAGGGGACCUUCGGGCCUUGCGCGAUUGAAUGAGCCGAUGUCGGAUUAGCUAGUUGGCGGGGUAAAGGCCCACCAAGGCGACGAUCCGUAGCUGGUCUGAGAGGAUGACCGGCCACACUGGAACUGAGACACGGUCCAGACUCCUACGGGAGGCAGCAGUGGGGAAUAUCGGACAAUGGGCGCAAGCCUGAUCCAGCCAUACCGCGUGGGUGAAGAAGGCCUUCGGGUUGUAAAGCCCUUUUGUUGGGAAAGAAAUCCAGCUGGCUAAUACCCGGUUGGGAUGACGGUACCCAAAGAAUAAGCACCGGCUAACUUCGUGCCAGCCGCCGCGGUAA